GCAUAAAACAACUUGUGACCGUACCGCAAACCGACACAGGUAGAUAAGUAGAGAAUACUCAGGCGCUUGAGAGAACUCGGGUGAAGGAACUAGGCAAAAUAGCACCGUAACUUCGGGAGAAGGUGUGCCUUAAGUAAGUGAAACAUUAACUUGUCAAGCUGAACAAGGUCGCAGUGACUAGGGGGUUGCGACUGUUUACUAAAAACACAGCACUCUGCAAACACGUAAGUGGACGUAUAGGGUGUGACGCCUGCCCGGUGCUGGAAGGUUAAUUGAUGGGGUUAGCAGCAAUGCGAAGCUCUUGAUCGAAGCCCCAGUAAACGGCGGCCGUAACAAUAACGGUCCUAAGGUAGCGAAAAUUCCUUGUCGGGUAAGUUCCGACCUGCACGAAUGGCGUAACGACAGCCCCCGCUGUCUCCACCCGAGACUCAGUGAAAUUGAAAUUGCUGUGAAGAUGCAGUAUACCCGCGG
This 471-nucleotide ribosomal RNA is filed under the name uncultured bacterium. Its description in RNAcentral is "bacterial LSU rRNA". It matches the Rfam family "Bacterial large subunit ribosomal RNA", at positions 1624 to 2075 of the family's 2925-position model. The record is from RNAcentral.